UAGGAAUAUUGCACAAUGGGCGCAAGCCUGAUGCAGCCAUGCCGCGUGUGUGAAGAAGGCCUUCGGGUUGUAAAGCACUUUCAGCGAGGAGGAAGGUGGUGAACUUAAUACGUUCAUCAAUUGACGUUACUCGCAGAAGAAGCACCGGCUAACUCCGUGCCAGCAGCCGCGGUAAUACGGAGGGUGCAAGCGUUAAUCGGAAUUACUGGGCGUAAAGCGCACGCAGGCGGUUUAUUAAGUCAGAUGUGAAAUCCCCGGGCUCAACCUGGGAACUGCAUUUGAAACUGGCAAGCUAGAGUCUCGUAGAGGGGGGUAGAAUUCCAGGUGUAGCGGUGAAAUGCGUAGAGAUCUGGAGGAAUACCGGUGGCGAAGGCGGCCCCCCUGGACGAAGACUGACGCUCAGGUGCGAAAAGCGUGGGGAGCAAAACAGGAUUAGAUACCCUGGUAGUCCACGCUGUAAAACGAUGUCGAUUUGGAGGUUGUGCCCCUUGAGGCGUGGCUUCCGGAGCUAAACGCGUUAAAAUCGACCGCCUGGGGAGUACGGCCGCAAAGGUUAAAAACUCAAAAUG
RNAcentral lists this ribosomal RNA (569 nucleotides) under uncultured bacterium. RNAcentral's name for it is "partial 16S ribosomal RNA". It matches the Rfam family "Bacterial small subunit ribosomal RNA", at positions 356 to 908 of the family's 1533-position model. The record is from RNAcentral.